This is a long non-coding RNA of Oryzias melastigma (Indian medaka), 628 nucleotides long. RefSeq lists it as uncharacterized. The record is from RefSeq and is a predicted model, not a curated record. The transcript is spliced from 2 exons. NCBI's taxonomy places the organism in Eukaryota, Metazoa, Chordata, Actinopteri, Beloniformes, Adrianichthyidae.
GAAAUAUUCAAAUCAUCCAGACAGGUUUGAUGAAUGGAUUCAGGUUCUGAGUGCAGAAGGUCUGACUGGACGUUGUUACUGGGAGGUGGAGUGGAGCGGGAAGGUUUUUGUGUCAGUUGCAUGCAAAGAUAUCAGUCGUACAGGAACCUGUGAUGAAUGUUUGUUUGGAUUUAAUGAUAAAUCCUGGGUAUUAGGAUGUUCAUCCACUGGAUAUGAAUUUUACCACAACAAGAUCAGUGUUUCUAUUUCAGUUCCUCAAUCCUCCAGAGUUGGAGUUUAUUUAAAUCACAGAGCAGGAACUUUGUCUUUCUACAGCGUUUCUGACUCCAUGACUCUCAUACACAAAGUCCAGACCACAUUCACUCAACCUCUGUAUGCUGGAUUCAGGAUUCCAUCAAUGUUUGGAUGGAUCAGGUUGUUGGAUUCAAGUAAAAAUCAGUCACUGAUCUGUGAGUCUCAAUGAUGAAAUAUGUCUGCAGUGUAGAAAACCACAAAUCUGGAAAAUACUGUUUAUGUAACAUCUAAUAAUGUGUUAAAAAUACUUAUACUUUAUUAAUUAAAAUAACACACCAAACACAGGAUUCAUUGUGUAAUUAAAAUGUGAAACAAUAUAAAAAUGUGGUUUUGU